UGGGUUGUGGCUCAGUGGUAGAUCGCUUGCCUAGCAUGUAUGAGGCACUGGAUUCAAUCCCCAGCACCACAU
RNAcentral lists this transfer RNA (72 nucleotides) under Marmota monax (woodchuck). It matches the Rfam family "tRNA". From Rfam's summary of the family: Transfer RNA (tRNA) molecules are approximately 80 nucleotides in length. Lineage: Eukaryota; Metazoa; Chordata; Mammalia; Rodentia; Sciuridae. The record is from Rfam by way of RNAcentral.